This 240-nucleotide unclassified non-coding RNA is filed under the name uncultured fungus. RNAcentral's name for it is "partial contains 5.8S ribosomal RNA, internal transcribed spacer 2, and large subunit ribosomal RNA". The stretch from base 1 to 52 matches the Rfam family "5.8S ribosomal RNA", at positions 103 to 154 of the family's 154-position model. The record is from RNAcentral. Lineage: Eukaryota; Fungi.
AACGCACAUUGCGCCCUCUGGUAUUCCGGAGGGCAUGCCUGUUCGAGCGUCAUUACAACCCUCAAGCUCUGCUUGGUAUUGGGCGUCACCGGUAACGGUGUGCCCUAAAAUCAGUGGCGGUGCCAUCUGGCUCUAAGCGUAGUAAAUCUCUCGCUAUAGGUGUCAGGUGGGUGCUUGCCAACAACCCCCAAUUUUUUUAAGGUUGACCUCGGAUCAGGUAGGGAUACCCGCUGAACUUAA